CACGGCGCACGGGGGCGUAACACGUGGGCAAUCUGCCCUCCGAUGGGGAAUAACCCCGCGAAAGCGGGGCUAAUUCCGCAUAACAUUCCGGGGACCUAGGUUCCUGGAUUCAAAGCAGUGAUGCGUCGGAGGAGGAGCCCGCGCCCGAUUAGCUAGUUGGUGAGGUAACGGCUCACCAAGGCAAUGAUCGGUAGCUGGUCUGAGAGGAUGGCCAGCCACACUGGAACUGAGACACGGUCCAGACUCCUACGGGAGGCAGCAGUGGGGAAUCUUGCGCAAUGGGCGAAAGCCUGACGCAGCGACGCCGCGUGGGGGAUGAAGCUUCUCGGAGUGUAAACCCCUUUCGACUGGGACGAAUGCCCGCAAGGGAGUGACGGUACCAGUAGAAGAAGCCCCGGCUAACUACGUGCCAGCAGCCGCGGUAAGACGUAGGGGGCCAGCGUUGUUCGGAAUUACUGGGUGUAAAGGGUUCGUAGGCGGUGUGGCAAGGUGGGAGUGAAAUCUCUGGGCCUAACCCAGAGCCUGCUUCCAA
RNAcentral lists this ribosomal RNA (532 nucleotides) under uncultured bacterium. RNAcentral describes it as "bacterial SSU rRNA". It matches the Rfam family "Bacterial small subunit ribosomal RNA", at positions 94 to 630 of the family's 1533-position model. The record is from RNAcentral.